RNAcentral lists this transfer RNA (73 nucleotides) under Anguilla anguilla (European eel). RNAcentral describes it as "tRNA-OTHER". The record is from RNAcentral. Lineage: Eukaryota; Metazoa; Chordata; Actinopteri; Anguilliformes; Anguillidae.
GGCACGGUGGUGCAGUGGGUGGCACUGUCGUCUCACAGCAAGAAGAUCCUGGGUUCGAAUCUCGGCCUUUCUG